CCCAGUGUUCAGACUACCUGUUCAUCAAGCUGCAGCUGAACAGUAGUCUGCACAUUGGUU
This is a microRNA precursor of Myripristis murdjan (pinecone soldierfish), 60 nucleotides long. Ensembl annotates it as microRNA 199-2a. Its record names the gene mir199-2a. NCBI's taxonomy places the organism in Eukaryota, Metazoa, Chordata, Actinopteri, Holocentriformes, Holocentridae. The record is from Ensembl.